RNAcentral lists this transfer-messenger RNA (136 nucleotides) under Muribaculaceae bacterium. RNAcentral's name for it is "partial transfer-messenger RNA". It matches the Rfam family "transfer-messenger RNA", at positions 1 to 136 of the family's 374-position model. From Rfam's summary of the family: Bacterial tmRNA, also known as 10Sa RNA or SsrA, is named for its dual tRNA and mRNA-like properties. Its role is to liberate the mRNA from a stalled ribosome. To accomplish this part of the tmRNA is used as a reading frame that ends in a translation stop signal. The record is from RNAcentral. Lineage: Bacteria; Pseudomonadati; Bacteroidota; Bacteroidia; Bacteroidales; Muribaculaceae.
GGGGCUGACUGGCUUUGACAGCGUGUAGAAGUGGUGUGUAAGCGUGCAGAGCAAUGAUGGUUUCCUCUAUAAAAUCAACAUCAAUAAUUUUAAUUGGCGAAAACAUCUAGGCUCUCGCUGCUUGAUUGAAGUACAG